UUUUUCAUUCAAUAGUUAAAAGUAGCGAACCACUAAUUUUUUUAUUGUACUAUUUGAUUUAUGCUUUAGUUUUACUCGAUGAAGAAGACUCUUGAAUUUUGAUUGAUUAUGUGAGAUGGUGCCGACAAGGGCUCAAACAACCAUGUACGUAUUUUGUAUUUCUUUUUCCAGCUAUAUUGUUAUGAAUAAAGUCUUAAGAAGGAUGUGUGUAUUGUAUUUUUCCUUCUCUAUUUAUUUU
Molecule: long non-coding RNA, 238 nt
Filed under: Capsicum annuum
Lineage: Eukaryota; Viridiplantae; Streptophyta; Magnoliopsida; Solanales; Solanaceae
Description: long non-coding RNA (CANN_LNC007364)
Source: RNAcentral